Molecule: unclassified non-coding RNA, 245 nt
Filed under: Glomus sp.
Lineage: Eukaryota; Fungi; Glomeromycota; Glomeromycetes; Glomerales; Glomeraceae
Description: partial contains 5.8S ribosomal RNA and internal transcribed spacer 2
Rfam family: 5.8S ribosomal RNA (bases 1-72)
Source: RNAcentral
GUGAAUCAUCGAAUCUUUGAACGCAAAUUGCACUCUCCGGUUUUCCGGGAGGGUAUGCCUGUUUGAGGUUCUGUUUAAAAAAUAAUCGAGGCUUCUGCUGUGGUGGCGCUGCGGAAUUGGGUCAUCUUCCACCUGUCGUGGGUGUAAUCGACCUAAAUUUUGUCUGACGUUUUCUACGAACGUUUCUAAGCAUUUCUUGUACUUUCGCUACAUCAUACUCAGAUUAGUGAACACCACCGCUGCGG